Long non-coding RNA from Venturia canescens, 3730 nucleotides. RefSeq lists it as uncharacterized. Lineage: Eukaryota; Metazoa; Arthropoda; Insecta; Hymenoptera; Ichneumonidae. The record is from RefSeq and is a predicted model, not a curated record. The transcript is spliced from 5 exons.
GCUCCGACAAUGGUCGCAAACGAAGGAGAGAAAAGUGCGAGGACGAGCGACUUGGAUGGAUUUUUUUGAAGUCAGAUGAAUUAUCGAUAAUCGAUGGUGCCAAGAGAAAAAACAAUCCUCGAAGCGAAUUGAAGGCCAGGACAGAGGAGUUUUGUUUCACUUCCAUCGAGGAACAAUUAUAAACGCAAUUACGCUUUAUUUGUUCUCGCUUAAUUGACAGUAAGGAGCAGGAGAGUGAAUGCGGUAAGGCAUUUUGCGCGUGUGUGUCUCGGCACUCGGACUCGGAGCUACCGUCAUAACGCGGGGUUCAAGGAGAUUGCCCGAGGAUAAAAUAGCGGGUGUGGCCAGUCUCGUACGGGGUUGAACGCGAGCCCGAGUCGGCUGAUAGACAGCGAGAAACGUCGAUUACCGCUCGUGUUUUCGACCAAGGACGCGCCUAUGCGCAACGGUCACUGUUAAUUCUCGUUACUGUUAGACCUCGAUGUGCGUGUACCUCACGAGACGAUUUGGAAUCGCGUAAACACGAAGGGAAAGAUUCAACUCCUAAAUGAUGCGACUGAUCCUCGAGUGACGAGGUUUUCCCUGGAAGCUCAUCGACAUCGAUCAUCCACGAAUAAAAUGAAGAUCGAACCGAUUCCUUUCCGUCUGCACGUUCCGCCCAAGCGUGCCUGCGCUCUCCUUCGAGACUUUUUUGGUGAAGAGCGGAAAGAGGAGAUGCAUGUCUAUGAUCGCCGAAUUGGGACGUAUAAUAAUGGAGAAUUACGGAGGAUCGAAGCGGGCUUGCACAAUGUGAAAUGACCGGCGAACGAGAGGCAAUCGAGAAUUUGCACAAAGCGAAUAAACUUUCUCGCCCUCGUGUAUACACGCGGGGAUAUACGUGUAUCGCGUCCUUCGUGGCUUUACCGCUCGACAUUCACCGCCCGGUGGAUCUCUCGUGCUUCGUUUUAAAUAGCGGCGAGGACUAAUUUUCUCCCUUCGUUUUGUUCUUCCUCCUCGUUGUUUGUUACGAAAGCGUGGGUGAUGUUGCGCUCCGUUUACGUCCCGAAGCUUUUUCAAGGAAAGUGAACGUUUCGCGUGCGAUCUGACGUCUACCUGCCGUGCCUCCGAUCGGCGAGCACACCUUUUCGUAUUCUUUUUCUUUAAUUUAUAAAAGAACAUGAGAAAGCAGAUAGGAUCGAUCCUUCGUGAGGUCACGGGAGAAGGCUGAGCGUCCGCGAUCGUGAAAGCCCCGGUUGGCUCGCGUAUAGGGCCAGGGUCGAGCCCCUUGUUUCUCGAAACUCCGCGACGAAAGUCGACGGAUUUGUAUCGAGGCUUUCGAAAGGGGGGAGUGUCGAAAAAUCCUUGCGAAAUUCGCUCAGCGAGGUCCGCUCCUCGUUCCCGGAAGAGGGAGCGAGCCUCGCGGAGUCCGCUUGACCCAAAGGGGUCACGGAAUGUGUAUCAAAUUCCGGAGCUCGAGGGCCGAACAUUGGCAAAAAGCGUUCGACGCUUUGCGUAAUUCCGUGGCUCUCGGAGCGACCGAGUCGCCGUCAAUUUUCUUUUUCCUCGACUUUUUUGCCACGCAGUGACGUAAGAUUAUUCCCUGGAGAAAGGCCGCGGGUGACAAAUCGCUUUUUGGCGAGAGCACAAAUGCUCCUCGGAUCUCAGGCUUCCGGGAACAGUAUAUAAAUUGACAGAAGGAAUGAUAAUUCUUGCUGCAGUUUCCCGGUACGACUUGCCACGCGAAUACUUCGUGUGUGCCUCGUUGACGUUUUUUAAACUGCGAAAAAACAAACGGUUUCCUUAAAGAGACAGAAAAAUAUUUGCUCCGAGUAUUUACCACGCAGAAACAAUGCCAUUCGAGUCGACUUCGGCGGUUAUUAAAGACCGGUCAUUAAAAACUUCACCCGAAUGCAUGCUCCGAGUGGACGCGUGUCCGUGUGCAAACGCUCGUUCGUUCGGUACGAGUGUGGACCGGGCCUCGUUAUCACGUCGUUAACGCGAUCAGAGAGGCAGAGUUUGUGGCGGUGGUUAAUAUGAAAGUAGAGAAAUUAGGUAUUCGAGAUCGAUUUUUCUCGUUAUUGUUACUCGUAAUUUCACGGUUCGUCCAAUCGACGAUGUUGAGUUAUGAAACUGCCAUAUUAAACUGUGAAAUCGGGUUGAACUCGUAAAAUCAAAUAUUUCUCAUUUAAUUAUGCGGUUGAAAAUAUGAUUGUGCUCCACAUAGGAACAUGCCGAGAAAAAAGUUCAUCGUUGAAAAGAUUCGGAUGAAAAAAGAUCAACAAAUCCACAAAUAUCUGUUAUUACAGUCGAAGCACACGAGAAUAUAACAAAGUAACGUAAUUUUACGAUAAUCGGAGGCGGGGAAAAUCCGCUUCGCGGUCGUAUCGUCGUUCCGUGCUGGCGUUAACGAUGAAAAAAGGGAACGGAUAUUAUUCUCUCGGGAGGCUGCUGCCGCCGCCGCUGCUGCUCGCACUGGGGAUUGUUCAGUGGGUCCAAGGGGUGGAAGUACAAAAAAUUGAAGCUCUUCGACGUCUCUUUAAAGAUUCGUUCUAAGAUCGACGAACUGCGUGAGCGUUAAGAAACUUGAACUCAGAGCCUGUGAAUUAUACCCUUUUCUACGUCAAUUGGCGAUGCGAACACUCGGUUCGUAAAGUACGUAGAUCUUGGAGGAAAAUUACGACACUCGAGCGUUCCGUGUAUCUGCAUUUGUGGCGUACGCACGAACCGGGUCCACAGUAUAAUUCACCAAGGAACAUAUCGCAUGUGGGAGCCGCUACCAUUGUCGUCCAUGUGACCGCGUGUGUCGCAGUUCUCGCAUAAGUCACACUCAAAAGUAACGGAAAUGCUCGCCUGAUCGAAGAGCCGACGGCAAGACCGAAAAUUGAUCAAUUUUUACAUCGUGGCCGGAACGAGAAUCAUCCUUAAGGAAAAUGACACAGUCAACGCUCGCGUAGCAAUGCGCCCGUGGGCUUGUGACGGGCUAAACGCAGUUUCUCUCCUGCAUAACAUGGAAGUGCAGCGCGUAUACGUGAGUUCGGAUAUGCGCUCUGUGCUGGAAAGAGUGAACGACAGCAGCAGCAGCAAGGAGAGAUACAUGUGGUCGCAGCUAUUAGCCUACCUAUGUGCCGUGCUCGCAUACCUAACGUUCAAUUAUAUAAUGCCCAACGACCCCAAUAAUAUCAGGGCUAUACUGUCGUCAGUCAUCGUACGAUCGAAAUCGACGUGUCGAAAUGAAAAAUGGGCUGAAACACGAAGUAAAAUCAUACCGAAGCGGAGUUUAGUAGAAUUUUGAAGAAUGGAACGCUGAUUGAUCGAAUCAAAGUGACAGAAAAAGCUUCCAAUGAUUCUUCAAAAUUCAAAUUCGUGAGAAAGUGAAAUGGUUGAGAAUUAUUUUUUCGUUGCAUAAUCCACUCGCCAUUCUUUUAAAUAUGAUGAAGUUUAAUGUCCUAUACAGAGACGAAAAAUUUGCAACUCGUGAAUGCGAUAUUAGAAAAUACAAAAUCAACUCAAAUAUGAAGUAAACCAUCGAUACCAUCAGAGUAGAAUGGAUUUAAAGGGAUGAAACGUCAGUCAAUCUCAAUGAGCACUGGUAAAAAGCACCCACUCGCAGGUCCUUGAUUCAAAUUUCUAACGUAAUCACAACUGAUAAAAACUGUUUUUUUUUUCACGAGGUCACGCGAGCGCGGGGAUUUUUAACGAUUGUAAUCGAUCACUAAGGAAUUUUUACCGCUGAAAAGUCUCGUUGUAAGAU